Non-coding RNA from Gossypium arboreum, 107 nucleotides. The record is from Rfam. Lineage: Eukaryota; Viridiplantae; Streptophyta; Magnoliopsida; Malvales; Malvaceae.
AUCCCAUGGUGAGGGCAUUUUUGUAGUAACUCUUUGAAUCUUUCCCAUGCCUCAUAUAAGGAUUCAUCAUUCAAUUGUUGGAAAAUAGUUAUCUCAUUCCUCAACUU